CGGGGUGAGUAACGCGUGAGGAACCUGCCUCAAAGAGGGGGACAACAGUUGGAAACGACUGCUAAUACCGCAUAAGCCCACGGCUCGGCAUCGAGCAGAGGGAAAAGGAGUGAUCCGCUUUGAGAUGGCCUCGCGUCCGAUUAGCUAGUUGGUGAGGUAACGGCCCACCAAGGCGACGAUCGGUAGCCGGACUGAGAGGUUGAACGGCCACAUUGGGACUGAGACACGGCCCAG
RNAcentral lists this ribosomal RNA (234 nucleotides) under uncultured bacterium. Its description in RNAcentral is "partial 16S ribosomal RNA". It matches the Rfam family "Bacterial small subunit ribosomal RNA", at positions 104 to 334 of the family's 1533-position model. The record is from RNAcentral.